CGAGCCAAAGACUUGAGAAAAGUGUUACACCCCAGGAUUUUCUUGCCACAAAGUGAGAUUAUAUUAGCAACAGAUGAAGAAGGAAGCAAUCAGAAGAAUCAGCACCAAGCACAGCAGUGUCUACACAUCAUGCUCUCUGAAAAAGUGAUCAGCUGCCAACAACACAUAUGCCAGCAGCACUAUCAUCUUCUGUGGAACACUUCCUUGAGAUAGGCAUCCUGCCAAGCUGUGGAUGAGUUUUCUACCUGAGAAGUUCUCUAACAACUUCUGGAGCUGUUUUGGCUAUCUCAGAGAGCUGUGGACUUGGACAGGCAACGAAGGAAACCUUCCCUUCCCAGAAAUUUUAACCAAGCUGGAUGAAUUUCUGGGAGAGAGCUUAAGUGGCUGACACUGAUGGGAAAGAUAAUCAGUGCUAGGGUGAAUGCUUAGCUUCACUGACUCAGACAUUGCUCAGUUAAUGCUACGUUCAGUACUUGCAAGAUCCCAGCACAGCUCUUGUGGCUUUCCCCAUUGGUUUACUUCAAUGAGUAUCAGUUCCUGGUUGGGCCAAAGUGGAAGCAGAAGAGAGGCAUGCACGGACAGAUGCAAGCUGUAUGGGUCCUUACAGCUGAACUACUGCUCUGUGAUAAAAUACAGCAAAGAAGUACAAAGAAGUCAUGCACAAAUUCAAGCUGGAAAGCAGAAGGUAUUGAACUAUUAGAGCAGGGAGAUAGAGAUCUUGCAACACACUAUUCAUAGGAGCAGCAGGAGGCAAACCAAUAUGAUUAUUUUAAAGAUGGAGCAAUGCUGUGCUUGUGAAAGGGAAGUGUGGUAAUAAAAUGAUAUGACCUUGGUGCUCCAAGAAAUCCUAAUGCUUCCUUGGUCCAUAGGAAGGAUGGGUGUAAGGAAGCUGCUUAUUCACGUAGGGCACAAGAAUUUAAUUGCUCUAUAUUCUGGAGAUGUGUUUCACUGGAUGCCUGUAACGUGAGUGGGGAAACACUAGUAGCUUCAAAUGCAGAUUACUCCAUCAAAACAAGAACUGAAGCCUCUCUUAUUCUUUUCUUUAGACUUGUGGUUAAUGAAACCCUGGGAACAUGUCCCUUGCCCAAUUAAGCAUCAAUUAUUACCAAAUGUCUGAAGAGAAGUGUCAUGUUUCAGUGUUGUUUCUCACCAAAAAAUCCCCAGCAACGCUUCCAAAAGCAACUGUGUUGACCUU
Molecule: long non-coding RNA, 1195 nt
Organism: Pogoniulus pusillus (Red-fronted tinkerbird)
Lineage: Eukaryota; Metazoa; Chordata; Aves; Piciformes; Lybiidae
Exons: 3
Source: RefSeq, a predicted model, not a curated record